UUCUUCGGGGCAAGGUGUAAUUCCUUACCGGCGGUAUAGCCCGCAAGCCAUUGUGCAUGAUUCGGUGAAAUUCCGAGGCCGACAGUAAAGUCUGGAUGUGAGAAGAUA
This 108-nucleotide non-coding RNA is filed under the name uncultured Clostridium sp. RNAcentral's name for it is "FMN riboswitch (RFN element)". It matches the Rfam family "FMN riboswitch aptamer (RFN element)". From Rfam's summary of the family: The RFN element is a highly conserved domain that is found frequently in the 5'-untranslated regions of prokaryotic mRNAs that encode for flavin mononucleotide (FMN) biosynthesis and transport proteins. This element is a metabolite-dependent riboswitch that directly binds FMN in the absence of proteins. Lineage: Bacteria; Bacillati; Bacillota; Clostridia; Eubacteriales; Clostridiaceae. The record is from RNAcentral.